AUACGUAGGGUGCAAGCGUUAAUCGGAAUUACUGGGCGUAAAGCGUGCGCAGGCGGUUUUGUAAGACAGAGGUGAAAUCCCCGGGCUCAACCUGGGAACUGCCUUUGUGACUGCAAGGCUAAAGUACGGCCCAGGGGGAUGGAAUUCCGCGUGUAGCAGUGAAAGGCGUAGAUAUGCGGAGGAACACCGAUGGCGAAGGCAAUCCCCUGGGCCUGUACUGACGCUCAUGCACGAAAGCGUGGGGAGCAAACAGGAUUAGAUACCCUGGUAGUCCACGCCCUAAACGAUGUCAACUGGUUGUUGGGUCUUCAUUGACUCAGUAACGAAGCUAACGCGUGAAGUUGACCGCCUGGGGAGUACGGCCGCAAGGUUGAAACUCAAAUGAAUUGGCGGGG
RNAcentral lists this ribosomal RNA (395 nucleotides) under uncultured bacterium. RNAcentral's name for it is "partial 16S ribosomal RNA". It matches the Rfam family "Bacterial small subunit ribosomal RNA", at positions 523 to 918 of the family's 1533-position model. The record is from RNAcentral.